Molecule: ribosomal RNA, 691 nt
Filed under: Flavobacterium sp. T61.09.P.BNT.WR.Fin.D
Lineage: Bacteria; Pseudomonadati; Bacteroidota; Flavobacteriia; Flavobacteriales; Flavobacteriaceae
Description: bacterial SSU rRNA
Rfam family: Bacterial small subunit ribosomal RNA
Source: RNAcentral
GUCGAGGGGUAUAGGUUUUCGGAUCUAGAGACCGGCGCACGGGUGCGUAACGCGUAUGCAAUCUACCUUUUACAGAGGGAUAGCCCAGAGAAAUUUGGAUUAAUACCUCAUAGUAUUAUGAAAUGGCAUCAUUUUAUAAUUAAAGUCACAACGGUAAAAGAUGAGCAUGCGUCCCAUUAGCUAGUUGGUAAGGUAACGGCUUACCAAGGCAACGAUGGGUAGGGGUCCUGAGAGGGAGAUCCCCCACACUGGUACUGAGACACGGACCAGACUCCUACGGGAGGCAGCAGUGAGGAAUAUUGGACAAUGGGCGCAAGCCUGAUCCAGCCAUGCCGCGUGCAGGAUGACGGUCCUAUGGAUUGUAAACUGCUUUUGUACGAGAAGAAACACUACUUCGUGAAGUAGCUUGACGGUAUCGUAAGAAUAAGGAUCGGCUAACUCCGUGCCAGCAGCCGCGGUAAUACGGAGGAUCCAAGCGUUAUCCGGAAUCAUUGGGUUUAAAGGGUCCGUAGGCGGUUUAGUAAGUCAGUGGUGAAAGCCCAUCGCUCAACGGUGGAACGGCCAUUGAUACUGCUAGACUUGAAUUAUUAGGAAGUAACUAGAAUAUGUAGUGUAGCGGUGAAAUGCUUAGAGAUUACAUGGAAUACCAAUUGCGAAAGGCAGGUUACUACUAAUUGAUUGACGCUGAUGG